Molecule: ribosomal RNA, 716 nt
Filed under: uncultured Actinobacillus sp.
Lineage: Bacteria; Pseudomonadati; Pseudomonadota; Gammaproteobacteria; Pasteurellales; Pasteurellaceae
Description: bacterial SSU rRNA
Rfam family: Bacterial small subunit ribosomal RNA
Source: RNAcentral
CGGACGGGUGAGUAAUGCUUGGGAAUCUGGCUUAUGGAGGGGGAUAACUACGGGAAACUGUAGCUAAUACCGCGUAAUAUCUUCGGAUUAAAGGGUGGGACUUUCGGGCCACCUGCCAUAAGAUGAGCCCAAGUGGGAUUAGGUAGUUGGUGGGGUAAAGGCCUACCAAGCCGACGAUCUCUAGCUGGUCUGAGAGGAUGACCAGCCACACUGGAACUGAGACACGGUCCAGACUCCUACGGGAGGCAGCAGUGGGGAAUAUUGCACAAUGGGGGGAACCCUGAUGCAGCCAUGCCGCGUGAAUGAAGAAGGCCUUCGGGUUGUAAAGUUCUUUCGGUGAUGAGGAAGGUGUUUGUUUUAAUAGAACAAGCAAUUGACGUUAGUCACAGAAGAAGCACCGGCUAACUCCGUGCCAGCAGCCGCGGUAAUACGGAGGGUGCGAGCGUUAAUCGGAAUGACUGGGCGUAAAGGGCACGCAGGCGGUGACUUAAGUGAGAUGUGAAAGCCCCGGGCUUAACCUGGGAAUUGCAUUUCAUACUGGGUCGCUAGAGUAUUUUAGGGAGGGGUAGAAUUCCACGUGUAGCGGUGAAAUGCGUAGAGAUGUGGAGGAAUACCGAAGGCGAAGGCAGCCCCUUGGGAAUAUACUGACGCUCAUGUGCGAAAGCGUGGGGAGCAAACAGGAUUAGAUACCCUGGUAGUCCACGCUGUAAACGCUG